RNAcentral lists this transfer RNA (83 nucleotides) under Bartonella sp. A05. Its description in RNAcentral is "Bartonella sp. A5(2022) tRNA-Leu". It matches the Rfam family "tRNA". From Rfam's summary of the family: Transfer RNA (tRNA) molecules are approximately 80 nucleotides in length. Lineage: Bacteria; Pseudomonadati; Pseudomonadota; Alphaproteobacteria; Hyphomicrobiales; Bartonellaceae. The record is from RNAcentral.
GCGGAUGUGGCGAAAUUGGUAGACGCACCAGAUUUAGGUUCUGGCGAGUGAUCGUGGGGGUUCGAGUCCCUCCAUCCGCACCA